CUACGGGGCGCUCCAGUGAGGGAUAUUGCACAAUGGGGGGAACCCUGAUGCAGCAACGCCGCGUGGAGGAUGACGCAUUUCGGUGUGUAAACUCCUUUUAUAUGUCAAGAAAAUGACGGUAGCAUAUGAAUAAGCACCGGCUAACUCCGUGCCAGCAGCCGCGGUAAUACGGAGGGUGCAAGCGUUACUCGGAAUCACUGGGCGUAAAGGACGCGCAGGCGGGUUGGAAAGUCAGGUGUGAAAUCCUACAGCUUAACUGUAGAACUGCACUUGAAACUUCUAAUCUAGAGUAUGGGAGGGGGAGAUGGAAUUAGUGGUGUAGGGGUAAAAUCCGUAGAUAUCACUAGGAAUACCUAAAGCGAAGGCGAUCUCCUGGAACAUUACUGACGCUAAGGCGUGAAAGCGUGGGGAGCAAACAGGAUUAGAUACCCCCGUAGUC
This 439-nucleotide ribosomal RNA is filed under the name uncultured bacterium. RNAcentral's name for it is "partial 16S ribosomal RNA". It matches the Rfam family "Bacterial small subunit ribosomal RNA", at positions 339 to 795 of the family's 1533-position model. The record is from RNAcentral.